RNAcentral lists this ribosomal RNA (963 nucleotides) under Rhyncomya nigripes. Its description in RNAcentral is "eukaryotic LSU rRNA". It matches the Rfam family "Eukaryotic large subunit ribosomal RNA", at positions 104 to 885 of the family's 3401-position model. Lineage: Eukaryota; Metazoa; Arthropoda; Insecta; Diptera; Rhiniidae. The record is from RNAcentral.
AUAGUUCAGCACUAAGUCACUUUGUCUUUAUGGCAAAUGUGAGAUGCAGUGUAUGGAAUGUCAAAUUUCUAGUAUGAGAAAUUAACGAUUUAAGUCCUUCUUAAAUGAGGCCAUUUACCCAUAGAGGGUGCCAGGCCCGUAUAACGUUAAUGAUUACUAGAUGGCAUUUCCAAAGAGUCGUGUUGCUUGAUAGUGCAGCACUAAGUGGGUGGUAAACUCCAUCUAAAACUAAAUAUAACCAUGAGACCGAUAGUAAACAAGUACCGUGAGGGAAAGUUGAAAAGAACUCUGAAUAGAGAGUUAAAUAGUACGUGAAACUGCUUAGAGGUUAAGCCCGAUGAACCUGAAUAUCCGUUAUGGAAAAUUCAUCAUUAUGAUUUUAAUAUUUAUAAUAUUAUAAUAAUGGUGUGCAUUUUUUCUAUAAAGGACAUUGUAAUCUAUUAACAUAAAAAAUUUAUCAUAAGAUCGACUGCGAAAGUAUAUUCGAAUUAUUUUGCUUGCAAUUUAACAGAGAAUAUAUGCUAUCGAUUUGAUAAAGUGUUGAUAGAUUUAUUAUAUAUAGUGCUUAAAUAUAUUAUAUAUUUUAUAAUAGCAUAUUAAUCAUUGAUUUUUAUGUUUAUUAUAUGCACUUAUAUGAUUAACAAUGCGAAAGAUUCAGGAUACCUUCGGGACCCGUCUUGAAACACGGACCAAGGAGUCUAACAUAUUUGCAAGUUAUUGGGAAUAAAAACCUAAUAGCGAAAUUAACAUAACUUAUAUUUAAAUGGGAUUAGUUUUUAGCCUAUUUAUAGUCUAUUAAUUCAAUCCCGGGGCGUUCUAUACAGUUAUGUAUAAUAGUAUUUAUACUAUUUAUACCUCUAACUAGAGCGUACCUUGAGCAUAUAUGCUGUGACCCGAAAGAUGGUGAACUAUACUUGAUCAGGUUGAAGUCAGGGGAAACCCUGAUGGAAGACCGAAACAGUU